UAUGGAAUUCGUUUGCCCACAUUUACUGAUAUAAUUCAUUUGUCUGCAUUAACGAUAUACAAAUCGUAAUUCAUUAUAGCAUAAAAGACACAAUUCAGCAAUCGGUGACCUUUUAACUGAAGAAAUCAGAAGAUAUACAACAUGGUCAAGGUAACUAAUAGCUCUUGAUUGAAAAACACCCUUGAUCCUUUAGCGUCAUGUUCCUCAAGGGAAACAAGCAGUUUCCUGAACAAUCGUUAUGGUCACUUGUCAGGAAGCCUUGAACCCUGCAAUAUAGCAGAAGAGGAAGGAAAUGUGAUUUAAUACCAAACAUCACAAGACAAAUAUUUAACAUGCCAGUGUACUAACAGUAUAACACCAAUGCAAAACUUAUUCUGAGCAACCAUUGUAGCCUUUCCAAACUUACUAAAAUUUGGAAGUUAUAUAUGUUCAUAAAUGUAGAUGCUAAUUGCACUCGGGUAAGCCUACACAGAAAACAACCUUGGACUUAAAUACUUUUGGUAUUCAAAUCACGACAUUGCUUACCUAAACAAACAAGAUCUACUAUAUUUCCAUUUUUCACAUUUACAUUCUAUUAUUAGGGAUAAACCUCCCAUUGGUUGUUAAGGCUUACCUUGAAGCUAACAUAGAGAUCACUUAGAUGAUAACAAUCUGAAUUUCCUUGGCCAACACUAAGACAACAAUUAAUGUUUGGACACUGAGUCUCGCGGAACAGGAGCACGUGGGUAGAGAAAAUAAAGAUGUAGAAAUAUUAGAGGCAAAGUGACACUGCUGCAUCUCAAUAGUAUUAUCCAAAAAAUAAUAGAACCAGGCAACAAAUCCUGAAAUUAAGAACCAAGAAAGCAAGUACUCAACAAGGCAUGCAACUAAUUUACAUAUAACACACUGCAUGUUUAGCAGUACUCACUAAUUAACAUUUUAGUACACCAGCUUCAAUAGGAGAGUACCAACAUGUGUAGAGCUGCCGAAAAGAAGCUGCAACGUAGUUGCACUUUGGGUAAAAAAAUGAUUUCAAUUGGGCUUUAGAUUCUUGUAGCACUUUUUGAUGACAUGAACAACGUCCUGUGUGAUGCUAGCAUCAUUAGUGUAACAAUGGAUUGUGUAUUUUAUCCCUACACAGGAUAUCUGUAAGAUGAGUUGGGUAAAGAAAUCAUACGAAGUCAAUUCAGUUACUCAAGUUUGAAAACUUCAUGUUCAGAUUUCUUCAGAUGUAGAAAACUGAUGGGUCCAGAUGAAAGGGUCUGUCCAGCAGCAUUGAUGUUAUUACAUAGAAGUGCACUACUAAGGUAAGUUUUUAAUGUGGACACCAAACGAUAUUGACAACCAAUGCAUGUUUGCAGAGUGUAAUCAGAGAAUUACGUAUAAAAACCUCCAUCCUAAAACAUGAGAAAUUCAAAAUGAACAUAAAGAGUCGAGCAUAUACCUUAAUAUAAUCCUUGAAAUUUUCCAUUGGGGUAUCAAUUAGCUGUGCAAGAAAUCAAAAAAUAAAAAUGCCCGUCAGACAUAGAAUCAAAUAUAAAAGAAUAAAAAAUAAUAAGUUAAAUUUAGAUGCAUAAGUUACAUUACAUGGUCAUAGGCAGCACUGAAGUAAUCACAUUUGGUGGUACUCGAAUCACCUGAUUAGAGUCAUACACUUUACCCAUUAGGCCACAAGAGCUUCUAUGUGAUGACAACAACAUCAAGCAAUUGCAUAUCCAAGCCAUGUGAAUCUGGUUUACAUACAAGAAAAGAAAUGCAUUGGAAAGCUCUGCUUACAUUGGGAGGAAGGGAAUAAAUCAUAAAUCUGCAGAUUGGUUUGAUAUUUGUUUGGCGAAUAGGAUUAGGGAGAUGCCGGCGGCACACAUUAUGUGUGCCCUCACCUUUGGAAAGUUUCCCAGGCUCGUUGGUCAGCUGUUUUGCAUGCGCCUCAGUGUCUAGACAUCAAACACGUACAAAUAGAUGGGGGAAUAUCAAGCAUGUUUGUGUGCCUAGCUAUUAGUUGAUCACCGAGUCACUUCCUCCAUCCUCUACAGGUCUGUGUAUCUCUCCGCAUUCUGCACAGAGAAGAUCGAUAUAUUACAGAUAUCCUCAGUUGCUAGUAAUAUAGAAGCAUCAUCAAGAAACAAAAUCAUUUGCCUGGUGUGCUGGCACGAGGUUAAUCAAUAUCCAACUCUAGAACUAUCGUCAAUUAUCCCCUUCAUACAAGAUUGUGAUCACAACAUCCUUUUUGUUCUACAGUAGAUGGUGUGGAUCAGUAACACAUCAACAUUCCUUUUGUUCUAUAUCAAAUAUGAGAGGAAAGAAGGGUUGGGAUUGGAGGAAGGGGGGCAACGGUGGAGGGGGCUGGGGUAUGGUGGCCGCGCCUACAUGGAUCCCGCCGCAGAGGGGGUGUGUGGGACGCGGCGAACGAGGGUCGUAAGUACGCGGAGGAGAAAUGAUAGGAGAAGCAGGACGGGGAGGAUAC
This 2443-nucleotide long non-coding RNA is filed under the name Triticum aestivum (bread wheat). Its description in RNAcentral is "long non-coding RNA (TAES_LNC002432)". Lineage: Eukaryota; Viridiplantae; Streptophyta; Magnoliopsida; Poales; Poaceae. The record is from RNAcentral.